UCCCUAUGAUUCACUCUCUAAUUUGCAUUGGUCAGUAAAAGAUCCUCCUCUAUAAGCGGAGCAGGUUGCUUUGCUUUGUAUCCGAUCUAAUUUGUGCUUUACUUCUUUUUGGGCUGUACUGAUUCUCCAUAUGCUCCACUUGAGAGAGCAAGAGAAGGUUACUCUACUCCAUUAUCUACUAAUUCCAGCAAUCAAGGUCAAUACAUGUUACAUCAAUCAGGGUCAGUAAUCAGUACUACUAAUUUCAGAGAAGACCUGUAUAGCAGUACUACUCCAUCGGCAAGCGUUCGGUGCUAGAUUUCUUUCACGCCUAUGUGGUGUUGUGCCAUGGUCGCUCUCCCUCCUCCAGGGACUCAGCCAAGUCCGGCCUGGCCAUGCCUCCGUCCUCCCGCCUUGCCGGUUGCGUGUGUGUGCUGUAUGUGCUUGACGCUGCAUGCUUGUUGGCUUGUCACUGGGUGCUUGUCGCUGCUGGCCUGCUGCAGCUGCUGCUGCUUUGCUGUAUAUAUUUGUAUAAUGCUUGCAUCUUGUAUGCAGCUAUGCUUUGUUUUAUACUGACAUUGUUGUUGCUGCUGCUGACCUGUUGAUGUUGUUGCUUACUGCCGCUGUCCUCCUGAUGUUGUUGCUGUGCUGGCCAAGGAGUGAGUCCAGAGAUACACAACAUUCAAUUAUGAGGAUAUAGGAAAUUAAUGGUCAUUCAGUCAUUGAUGAUAUAAAAAGAGGCAUGAAGGCAACGAAAGGGGCAGUAUUUUGAUCUCAUGUCAUCUCGCACAUAGAUUAUUUGUUCUUCUUUACGUACCAUUUUAUUAAUUAUUUAUAUAUACCCACCAUACCGCCGUAUUAUUGUUUCUUGAAAUUACCGUAUCCCCAUUUCCUUAUCGCCGUAUCCGUAACGCCGGUGCUUCAUAGCUAUGAAGCAUGAGUCUACAAUGAUCUAUUUUCAUGUUCUAUCAAGAAGUUCUGUUUGCAAUUUUCUUAUAUAAGUUUCAUUUAUGACAAUAAUGAUCGAUCCAUGUUCAUAGCUAUGUACGUGUUUCACUGGUAUUACCAUUGUUCAUAGUGUAAGCAUAUUAAACAGUUAUAUGCUUAUUGCACUACAAAGUGUAAACUAUUUAUUAUGUUCCAUCAUUUGACAGAGCAAUGCUAAAGUUCUAAAGUAUCAAGUGAUUGAAUACACUGAAAAUGAUUACAUAUGCAAGCUUUGCAAAGUAGAGAACCUCUUUUUUAGCCUCCACCAAUUUAUUGUUGUCCUUGUGUUGCUUGGAUAAAAUGAAAUGCAUACUAUACUUGCCCUAAAUGCUGUGUUUGGGAGAUCGAGCAUGGCUUACGUAUGCCUUUGCCACAAAAUUCUGUUCUUGGGGCUAAAGAUCUGCCAAGGGCCAUGCAUAGCGAUCAUAUAGAAGAACAACUCUUUAAACGGCUCAAUGAAGAGAGACACGAACGGGCUAUUCAUGAUGGGAAAAGUUUUGAUGAGAUCCUUGUUUCAUGCACGUGCACUUUUUUUGGGGAAUCGGGAGCUUUUCCGGACUGAAUAAGUAGAGUUAUAGUCAAGCUGAAGGCUGAAAACGAAGCCAUAAUUCAUAUUUAUCCAAGCACACCUUUGCCGCUCAGGCGAAUCGUUUUUUGCACACAGGUGAGCAGCAACAUUAGCUGGUCUGUGCACAAGCCUAAAUUGAAAACUAGAAUAAACUCUACUUAGUUGGUUCACUUCCUUCAGGAUGGGGGCAAUCACUGAUCUGUCUUGAGCAUCACUGGACCAAAAUAUAUGUACCACCUAGCAACAGAUUGCUGGUACAAAUAUAUGUACAUACAUUUGGGUGUAUAGCUGGUUGAUGUAUUGUUUUAAUGAGGGUUUGGUUUACGAGUGUGUGCAGUCUGUAUAAGACUAGGAGUAUUGGAUGGUUUUGAGUCGGCACUCGGCAGUAUGUAUUUUGAAUGAAGUUUGUGGUAUGUAUAGGGGUGAUAGAUUGGAUAGGAACUUCUGCUCUAAUUACUAUGGUUGUGGUGAAAUCAUGUUUUGCUUGAAUUAUACUCCCUCCGUUCCUAAAUAUAAGUCUUUCUAGGGAUUCCAAGAAGGGACUACAUAUGGAGCAAAAUGAGUGAAUUUACACUCUAAAACAUGUCUACAUACAUCCGUAUGUAGUUUAUAGUAGAAUCUCUAAAAAGACUUAUAUUUAGGAACGGAGGGAGUAUAUUUGGAACUGAUCUUAAUUUACUAGAUAAAUCAAUUCCGAAAUCCAAUAAACUUCUAUAAUUUCUAUAAUUUCCAAGAAUAGGAGUAUUGCUGGUUAAUCAAUUGAUUUACAUUAAUAUCUUAAAAGGGGACCGCACGCAUGUCCUGAUGCUAAAUCUUUUUAGAAAGGAAGGGUUUAUGUAAUUUUGGUAGGAUAAAAAAUGUAACCUUAGUAUUACCUAGAGCUAGGAUAUUUGAGUAGAUUAUUUUAAUUUUUGUGCUCAUAUGUGAGAUCAUGAUAAAAUUUGGAAUAUCAUGUUGCUAUAACGGAAUCAGUCGGGAUCGUGAAGUCUGCACCAGAAUGUUGACCACCCUUUUUUGUUUUUUAAGUUAAGGAAUUUACAACAAGUCUCUUGCAAAAAUAACUGUCCUAUCCCUUUCUACAAUCUCUCUAUAUCUUUGUUAGAUAAGGUAAGUAUUGCAUAAUAGUUCGGUUUUCCGUGAUUUUUUUCAUUCCUCUGUGUAAUAGCCUAAUAUGGGUUCACAAUCAAUAACAUGCUCACCAUCGAGAGUAACGAUCAGUCGAUAUGUACUCCUAAUUCUCUCUCUUAUAAACGUGAAGUCCAAAUGCCUACUGGCUGCUUUCAGGUGACUGGAAUUUUGAGCCUUCAGCUUGUCGAUAUGUGCUUGAGAAGUAGGUAAGAUGGAGCUAAGGCUGAGAUGGAGGCGACACUGCCUGCCGCAACGAUUCCAAGAUGCUGAGCUAGGACCUGGACGGAGGCGGGGACGACACUACUUGUGGUGGCGUCUCCAAGAUGAAGAUCUAGGACCUGGAUGGAGGCAGGGACGACGCAACUUGUCCCAGCGUCGUCAGCGGAGGACAUGCAGCGGGUUGUGGGGUUUGGGUGGAGGUGGGUUAGAGGGAUGACCGGUGGCAGCAACGGCAACUCGGGUAGACCAGGGCGGCGAGGCUGCAGUGCGGGCGUUCGUGUGCCAGGAAGAAGGUUACAGUCCGUUGGAUGCAUAAUAUGGGAGGGCGGAGGAAAAACUGACUGA
This is a non-coding RNA of Aegilops tauschii subsp. strangulata, 3226 nucleotides long. The record is from RefSeq and is a predicted model, not a curated record. Lineage: Eukaryota; Viridiplantae; Streptophyta; Magnoliopsida; Poales; Poaceae.